GCAACUCGCCUACACGAAGUCGGAAUCGCUGUAAUCGCGGAUCAGCAUGCCGCGGUGAAUACGUUCCCGGGCCUUGUACACACCGCCCGUCACACCAUGGGAGUUUGUAACGCCCAAAGUCGGUGGCCUAACCUUUAUGGAGGGAGCCGCCUAAGGCGGGACAGAUGACUGGGGUGAAGUCGUAACAAGGUAGC
RNAcentral lists this ribosomal RNA (194 nucleotides) under uncultured bacterium. RNAcentral's name for it is "partial 16S ribosomal RNA". It matches the Rfam family "Bacterial small subunit ribosomal RNA", at positions 1307 to 1500 of the family's 1533-position model. The record is from RNAcentral.